GACGAACGCUGGCGGCGUGCUUAACACAUGCAAGUCGAACGGUGAAGCGAGUGCUUGCACUCGUGGAUCAGUGGCGAACGGGUGAGUAACACGUGAGUAACCUGCCCAUCACUCUGGGAUAAGCACUGGAAACGGUGUCUAAUACUGGAUACGACCAACCCUUGCAUGGGGUGUUGGUGGAAAGAUUUAUCGGUGAUGGAUGGACUCGCGGCCUAUCAGCUUGUUAGCGGGGUAAUGGCCCACCAAGGCGACGACGGGUAGCCGGCCUGAGAGGGUGACCGGCCACACUGGGACUGAGACACGGCCCAGACUCCUACGGGAGGCAGCAGUGGGGAAUAUUGCACAAUGGGCGAAAGCCUGAUGCAGCGACGCCGCGUGAGGGAUGACGGCCUUCGGGUUGUAAACCUCUUUCAGCAGGGAAGAAGCGAAAGUGACGGUACCUGCAGAAGAAGCACCGGCUAACUACGUG
Molecule: ribosomal RNA, 469 nt
Filed under: uncultured bacterium
Lineage: Bacteria
Description: partial 16S ribosomal RNA
Rfam family: Bacterial small subunit ribosomal RNA
Source: RNAcentral